Molecule: ribosomal RNA, 633 nt
Filed under: uncultured Actinomycetes bacterium
Lineage: Bacteria; Bacillati; Actinomycetota; Actinomycetes
Description: bacterial SSU rRNA
Rfam family: Bacterial small subunit ribosomal RNA
Source: RNAcentral
UCGAACGGAAAGGCCAGUGCUUGCACUGGUACUCGAGUGGCGAACGGGUGAGUAACACGUGGGUGAUCUGCCCUGCACUUCGGGAUAAGCCUGGGAAACUGGGUCUAAUACCGGAUAGGACCACAUUUUGGAUGGUGUGGUGGAAAGUUUUUCGGUGUGGGAUGAGCUCGCGGCCUAUCAGCUUGUUGGUGGGGUAAUGGCCUACCAAGGCGUCGACGGGUAGCCGGCCUGAGAGGGUGUACGGCCACAUUGGGACUGAGAUACGGCCCAGACUCCUACGGGAGGCAGCAGUGGGGAAUAUUGCACAAUGGGCGCAAGCCUGAUGCAGCGACGCCGCGUGGGGGAUGACGGCCUUCGGGCUGUAAACUCCUUUCGCUAGGGACGAAGCGCAAGUGACGGUACCUGGAGAAGAAGCACCGGCUAACUACGUGCCAGCAGCCGCGGUAAUACGUAGGGUGCGAGCGUUGUCCGGAAUUACUGGGCGUAAAGAGCUCGUAGGUGGUUUGUCGCGUCGUUUGUGUAAGCCCGCAGCUUAACUGCGGGACUGCAGGCGAUACGGGCAUAACUUGAGUGCUGUAGGGGAGACUGGAAUUCCUGGUGUAGCGGUGGAAUGCGCAGAUAUCAGGAGGAACA